RNAcentral lists this unclassified non-coding RNA (2093 nucleotides) under Chelonus insularis. RNAcentral's name for it is "glucose 1,6-bisphosphate synthase, transcript variant X1". Lineage: Eukaryota; Metazoa; Arthropoda; Insecta; Hymenoptera; Braconidae. The record is from RNAcentral.
GGAGUCAGCUAUAUAAAGUAUCACGCAGGACCAAAAGCAAUCAAGAUAUAUAGAUAGAUGUGGAGACUGCGCGCCAACUUGUUAACUUGCUUGAAUAUCCUCAUUUCCAUCUCAUUAUCACUUUUUUAUUGAGGUCACGUAACCUCAAACUUCAUUUUGAACUGAUGAUUUUUAACUGUUUGGGAGUCGAGAAAAAUUUUAAUAUUGAUUUAUAAUUAAUCAAAUCAUCAAUGGAUCUGAAAGAGAUGGAAAAAACAACUGGAAAUCCAUCAUUGGACUCUAAAAUUAAUGAAUAUAUCCAAUGGAAUAAGAAUCUAACAGCAAAAAAGGAAGUUGAUGAUUUAAUUAAGACCAAAAAUCUUAAAGAAUUGGAGAAUCUUUUUCUAAAAAGAUUAGAAUUUGGCACAGCUGGUCUCAGAGGACGCAUGGGUCCGGGGUAUAAUCAAAUGAAUGAUUUAGUUAUUAUUCAGACUGGUCAAGGGCUUGCUAAAUAUUUAAUGAAAACAAUUGUCAAUCUUCAAGAGAAAGGAGUUAUUAUUGGAUAUGAUGGACGAUACAAUAGUAAAAGAUUCGCUGAAUUAACAUCCACAAUAUUUUUAAACAAUCAAAUAAAAGUCUAUACGUUUUCUGAAGUCUGUCCUACACCUUUCAUUCCAUUUGGAGUUUUGAAAUUCUCAUGUGGAGCAGGAAUCAUGGUGACAGCAUCUCACAAUCCUAAAGAGGACAAUGGAUAUAAAGUCUACUGGGAAAAUGGAGCCCAAAUAAUUUCCCCGCAUGAUAAAGAGAUCCAAAAAUGUAUCUUGGAGUGCUUAGAACCUCUUCCUACAUCCUGGAAUACAGAAAUAAUUAAUGGGAAUCCAUUGUUCAAAGAUUCUUUGGAAGAAGUAAUGGAAGAUUAUUUCAAAAUCAUCAAAGAGACUACGAUGUAUCCAAAAAUAAAUCAAAAAUGUAAUUUAAAAUUUGUUUAUACUCCAAUGCAUGGAGUUGGAUUUAGGUACAUGACAGAAGCAUUUAAAGCAGCUGAUUUCAAGCCAUUUAUUGUUGUUGAAGAACAAAAAAAUCCACAUCCAGAUUUUCCAACUGUCAAAUUUCCUAAUCCCGAGGAAGGAAAGAGUGCUCUUGAUUUGAGUAUUCAAACAGCUGAAAAAAAUGGAGCGUCAAUAAUUUUAGCUAAUGAUCCUGAUGCUGAUCGACUAGCUUGUGCAGUCAAAAAAAAAACAGGUGAAUGGCAUAUUUUUACUGGCAAUGAACUCGGAGCUCUUCUAGGAUGGUGGAUGCUCUAUGUUUAUCAAAAUAAACAUCCUGAAAAAAAUAUCUGUAACGCUUAUAUGAUGGCUUCCACUGUUUCUAGCAAAAUCCUAAAGACUAUGGCAAAGAAACAAGGUUUUCAAUUCGAAGAAACAUUAACAGGCUUCAAGUGGAUGGGAAAUAAAUGUAUAGACUUGAUAAAAAAUAAUUAUGAUGUCUUGUUUGCAUUUGAAGAAGCUAUUGGAUUCAUGUGUGGUCCUAAAGUACUUGAUAAAGAUGGGAUAAGUGCUGGUGUUCGUCUAGCAGAAAUGGCAGCAUAUCUUGAUGCCAAAAUGAAUCGAAGUCUUAUUGACCAACUAGCCGAGAUUUAUAAAGAGUAUGGACAUCAUAUAAGUGACAAUUCUUACUGGAUUUGCCACGAACAAGAUACUAUUAGGCGUAUUUUUAAUAGACUGAGGAAUUUUGAAGACCAACCAAACACGCUACCAAUACGUUUCAAAUAUGGGAAGAAGAAUAUUUAAAAUGAUUCAACAACACUAAUAAUAAUCAAGUCGUAAUGAAAAUGCGUCCUAAGUAAACGAUAUUAUCAUGAUAAUCUAUUAGAACUGUUAAGCAAACAGAAACUAAACGUUAAAAAAAAUACGAUCACGUACUUAAAUGCGGAUCAUUAUAUGUAUAUCUAGCACAUUUAUUACGAUUAAUGCAUUGGCUGAUAGUAUUGAAUACCCAAGAAGCAUUGCCGAUGGAAAAUAUAUGAUAACAGGUGUUCGCGAUCUAACAACUGGGUACGACAAUACACAACCUAAUAAUCAAGCUGUCUUGCCUACGUCAAAAUCCAGUCAAAU